This 81-nucleotide transfer RNA is filed under the name Nanobdellati archaeon. RNAcentral describes it as "tRNA-Ser". It matches the Rfam family "tRNA". From Rfam's summary of the family: Transfer RNA (tRNA) molecules are approximately 80 nucleotides in length. Their secondary structure includes four short double-helical elements and three loops (D, anti-codon, and T loops). The record is from RNAcentral. Lineage: Archaea; Nanobdellati.
GCCGAGAUCGCAUAGCGGUAUUGCGCAAGCCUGGAAAGCUUGUCCCGCAAGGGAUCGUGGGUUCAAAUCCCACUCUCGGCG